GAUGAAGAACGUAGCGAAAUGCGAUACGUAAUGUGAAUUGCAGAAUUCAGUGAAUCAUCGAAUCUUUGAACGCAUAUUGCGCUCUUUGGUAUUCCGAAGAGCAUGCUUGUUUGAGUAUCAGUAAACACCUCAACCUCUUCUUGAUUUUUCAAAAGGAGGGUGGACUUGAGCUAUCCCAACAACCUUUACCGGUCGGCGGGCGGCUUGAAAUGCAGGUGCAGCUGGACUUUUAUCUGAGCUAAAAGCAUAUCUAUUUAGUCCUCGUCAAACAGGAUUAUUACUUUUGCUGCAGCUAACAUAGAGGAUAAUUGUCCUCUUUGCUGACUGAUGCAGGAUUUUACGACACUUUAUGUGUUGUUCAACUCGAUCUCAAAUCAAGUAAGACUACCCGCUGAACUUAAGCAUAUCAAUAAGCGGAGGA
This 421-nucleotide unclassified non-coding RNA is filed under the name soil metagenome. RNAcentral's name for it is "partial contains 5.8S ribosomal RNA, internal transcribed spacer 2, and large subunit ribosomal RNA". The stretch from base 1 to 120 matches the Rfam family "5.8S ribosomal RNA", at positions 35 to 154 of the family's 154-position model. The record is from RNAcentral.